This 215-nucleotide long non-coding RNA is filed under the name Lathyrus oleraceus (garden pea). RNAcentral's name for it is "Pisum sativum (pea) long non-coding RNA (PSAT_LNC000509)". Lineage: Eukaryota; Viridiplantae; Streptophyta; Magnoliopsida; Fabales; Fabaceae. The record is from RNAcentral.
GCGAAAGCAAACAAGGAUUAGUUGUUAGUCGUUAGUCAAACUCGACAAGACAUCGCAUCUCGUGCCUACGUAUCUCAUCUGGACAUGAGAAUCAGAGUUGCCGUAGUUCAGCUCACGCACGCCAAACAAAACAAGACACCUACACACAAAAAGGUGGCAAACAUGGAGCCCGACUGCCAAUCACUGGACUUACAUCAGCAUCUGAACCAAAACAC